This 2608-nucleotide long non-coding RNA is filed under the name Marmota monax (woodchuck). Lineage: Eukaryota; Metazoa; Chordata; Mammalia; Rodentia; Sciuridae. The record is from RNAcentral.
AAAAAUAUGUAAUGUUAUUGUGCACAUGCAUAUCCAUCAAUCAAUUGAGCUCAACUUGUAUGAGGUAAACAUUACAAAUGAAGAGAAAGGAGAAGAUUAUGCAUUCUUCUCAAGAGAACAUAAACCCUUCUAUUCUCCAGGACAGUCCAGGUGGUGGGACAUACACAAUUCUCGAUAAAUUUUAAAAUCACAUGAUCAUAGAAAAUAUCUUCCCUGAUCCCAAUGGAAUGCAACUAGAAUUCAAGGAGAGAAGGAAAAUCUUCCAUUACACAACAUGCUCUUCUACAACUAAUGGGUUAAAGAGGGAAUCACUAGGAAAACUAGAUAGGAUUGAAAUGUAAAGGAAACAAGAUACAAUACAACAAAACACUGACAGGAAGCAAAAACCAGUUCUUAGUGGGAAACUUAGAGGGGUAGUACUUAUAAUCAAAGAGAAGACAAGAGCUCAAGUACAAUGUAACUUCUCAACCUGGGACUAGAAAGAUAAGAGCAGGCUGAAUGCAAAGCCCCCCAGAAAGGAAAAACAGAGCUUCAUUACCUCUUAGAAAGGCAAUGUGAUUGUGAGAGGGGAAAAAAAGAAAUGAAAAACAGAGUGGGAAAACAGCUGAAUACUCACUCAAACCAAAUACUGCUUCUCAGAAACUGUAAGCAAUUGUCCUAAAUCAUUAGCUGGACUAAGCACAAAUAGAGAGAAGACACCAACCACUAAAUUCAGACAUGAUAGCAGGAAACUACUGAUUUUACAGAAAUAAAAAUGGCAACAAGAUAUUACCCUAAAUUACUGUACAACAGCGAAUAAGAUAAUCUGAAUAACAGGAAAAUUUAAUAGAAACACAAAUUACAAACUGAUUCAAGGUCAGUAUGCAAAACAUGAUCAACUGCAACAACUUAAGAGAGACAAUUUGUAAUCAAACUCCCCCCAAAAGAAAGGUGGAUUGUGUGAUAUACUGGUGGAUUCUAUCAAAAAUUUUAAAUCAUACUAUGUACACCAAUAAAAAAGAUAAGCACUCAGCCACACAAAAGAGCAAAAUGGUGAUACUUGCUACAACUUAGAUGAGUCUCCAAUGCAUUAUAUAGAAUAAAAGAAGCCAGAAACAAAAGGUUGCAUGUGCCACAAUGUCUUUCAUUAUUUAUCCACGAUGGGAAGACCCAUGCAGACAGAAAUCAGAGUGUAGGGGUAUGGAAGAGGGGUGUGUUCAUUUCAUGGUACAUAUACUUUUGAGAAAAAAUUAAUAGGUUUUGAAAUUGGAGACAGAUACGAUCACAGAACACAGUAAAUGCUAUAAAUACCAAUAAAGUUAACUUCAAGAAGGUUCACUGUAUGGUAUGUGAAUUUCAUCUCAAUUUUCUAAAAGACAAUGAUGAGACACAAAUUUAUUGCAAUUCAUGUCAGAAUUCCACACUGGGUUUUUGCUGAAACUGACAAUCUCAUCUUGAAAUUGAUAUGGAAAUUCAAGGGACCUAGAAUUGCCUAAAAGUCCUGAACACCAACAACACAGUUGGAGAACUCACAUUCCUAUUUCAAAACAUGAAACAAAGGAACACUGAAGAGGACAAGACGUCAGGAUGCUGAACCUCCUGGCAUAGGGUGGACAUACCCAUCGUGGAGCAGCAUGAGAGUCCACAUACAAAGCCUCACAUUUAUAGUAACUGGUCGUUGACAGGGUGCCAAGGAAAUUCAAUGGAAAUAAAUACCCUAUUAACUCAUGCUGCAUUGACAGCACAUUCCUGCUUACAGGGUCCCUGACAGACACCAUCUCUAACUCUGUGUUAUAUGUGACUUCAUUUAAAGCUGCAUUCAACAAGGCUUCUCUCUUCUCUGCACCAAUCUUGCCCACACCACCAUCUACAAGACUCAACACAUCUUCAAUUUACUCUUCUGUCCACGCUGCACAUGUCAAGGUCUGUUUCAGUCCACAGGACAUUCAGGUGGUGCACCUGGGGUAAGCUGCUAAUUUCUAUGUCCCCAAAACCUGUGCAGAGAUGAACUCCAUCCUCAUGUCAUGGCGAGGUAUUUUAUAUGUUAUAACUUGACUGGAAAUUGUCUUUUCGGCAGCCACAUCCUUCCUUUUGUUUCAUUAUUAAUUUGUGUCAUCUCUUCUUUCUUUGAGUCAGUCUAACUGACAAUCUGUGCAUUUAUUAACUCUCUCAAAAACCUAGGUGUGCAUUCUUUCUCCUCACAUAGAUUUUUAUCUAAAGAAUAGAGUCAGAAUAUUCUGAUUAUUUAAUAAUUGCAUGUUUUCCCUGAUGCUUCCUGGAGAUUCAUGAUACACUGGGUCAUCAAAGUGCUUCAUAAGCACUAUUGUCCUGAUCAUGUAACAUUUCUACAAAUUUAAAGGGGCUCAGAAAACCACAACAUGAUCAAGGAAUCAAAAAACUAGGCUGAUGGCAACACUUUACCUGAGCCAUUUUUAUCAGGAAACAGUCAAUGAAAUCCCGAGGAUCGUUAACAUCCAGGGAUUCUUCAUGUUCUUUUACUUUCUCCAUAAUAUAAUUUCUAAUAUAAUCAGUAUUUUUGAACAAAAUGUGAUGACUUCCUGGAAGAUAAUCAAUGAGAGCAGGGAAAUUAUUGUAGACCUAGAAGAGAAAACAAUAAUAUAUUUAUAAA